RNAcentral lists this ribosomal RNA (862 nucleotides) under Methanocaldococcus infernus. RNAcentral's name for it is "bacterial SSU rRNA". It matches the Rfam family "Archaeal small subunit ribosomal RNA", at positions 24 to 883 of the family's 1478-position model. Lineage: Archaea; Methanobacteriati; Methanobacteriota; Methanococci; Methanococcales; Methanocaldococcaceae. The record is from RNAcentral.
ACUCUGCUUCGGGGUCCGACUAAUCCAUGCGAGUCAUGGGGCUCCCUUUUGGGAGCACCGGCGAACGGCUCAGCAACACGUGGCUAACCUACCCUCGGGUGGGGGAUAACCUCGGGAAACUGAGGCUAAUCCCCCAUAGGGGAGGAGGUCUGGAAUGAUCCCUCCCCGAAAGGCAGUAAGCCGCCCGAGGAUGGGGCUGCGGCGGAUUAGGUAGUUGGUGGGGUAAUGGCCCACCAAGCCUACGAUCCGUACGGGCCCUGAGAGGGGGAGCCCGGAGAUGGACACUGAGACACGGGUCCAGGCCCUACGGGGCGCAGCAGGCGCGAAACCUCCGCAAUGCGCGAAAGCGCGACGGGGGGACCCCGAGUGCCCUGCCUCUGGCAGGGCUUUUCCGGAGUGUAAACAGCUCCGGGAAUAAGGGCUGGGCAAGUCCGGUGCCAGCAGCCGCGGUAAUACCGGCGGCCCAAGUGGUGGCCACUGUUAUUGGGCCUAAAGCGUCCGUAGCCGGCCCGGUAAGUCUCUGCUUAAAUCCCGCGGCUUAACCGCGGGGCUGGCAGAGAUACUGCCGGGCUUGGGACCGGGAGAGGCCGGGGGUACCCCAGGGGUAGCGGUGAAAUGCGUUGAUCCCUGGGGGACCACCUGUGGCGAAGGCGCCCGGCUGGAACGGGUCCGACGGUGAGGGACGAAGGCCGGGGGAGCAAACCGGAUUAGAUACCCGGGUAGUCCCGGCUGUAAACUCUGCGGACUAGGUGUCGCGUGCCCUUCGGGGGCACGCGGUGCCGAAGGGAAGCCGUUAAGUCCGCCGCCUGGGGAGUACGGUCGCAAGACUGAAACUUAAAGGAAUUGGCGGGGGAGCACUACA